UAGUAGAGAACUACUGUAUGCCCCAAGGGA
This 30-nucleotide non-coding RNA is filed under the name Mus musculus (house mouse). The record is from RNAcentral. Lineage: Eukaryota; Metazoa; Chordata; Mammalia; Rodentia; Muridae.